GCAUUUCCGCACAAACCUGAUGAAAAUGAAGAUGAUAGUUGUUCUGGUAAUCCUGGCGAGUCUUGCAGUGCACUCGGACAGUUGCCCAUGCGUUAAAAGGAACCGUCGUUGUAAUUUGGGCAUCUGGGAACCACAGUGCUGUGAUUCCAUGACUUGUGUGCGACCAAAUGAAUGGGCAUUGUCUGGGAGAUGCGAUAAUGCUGACUGACACUAUGGAGCCUGUGAAUAAAGGGAACAAAACAGUACCUAAGCAAGCAAAGCUGAACAGAAUAUUAAUAUUU
Physella acuta is the source of this 281-nucleotide long non-coding RNA. RefSeq lists it as uncharacterized. Lineage: Eukaryota; Metazoa; Mollusca; Gastropoda; Physidae. The record is from RefSeq and is a predicted model, not a curated record.